CCUGCAUCCUCCACUUCAUCUCUGCUUCCUCCUACAUCCUCCUCUUCAUCUCUGCUUGCUACUGCAUCCUCCUCUUCAUCUCUGCUUCCUUCUGCAUCCUCCUGCAUCUCCCUCAAUUUCUACGGCGUACACCUCGGAUGUCCCAACCAAAAAAAGGACAAGGAAAGGUUAGACGUUAUGUUAUUGUAAAUGUACGAAACACAUGACAGGUUCGUUAAGUUUGAUAAGAUUUCUUUUUUCAUUUUGUUUCAUUCUUUCAUUUUCUCCAGUUUUACAGACCUCAUGUAAAUAUUUCCUUUGUUAUUUUUCAGAAUGCUGAAAACACCGUACACAGAAGAUUUUCAAAUAUGAAGAGAUAGUAGACAGGAGAGUUGUAAAUGAAAAAGAAGAAGUUAAAGUCAAGUGGAAGCCCUGCUCAACAUGGUAUGUAGUAACAGCUUUGUUACUACAAAACUCUCCCCCUCUCCCUCACCACCAUCUGUAAACACACAUGUCUCAGUAAUGCAGUUCAUGCAUGUUACUAACUAAACUUCUUCCCUGGAGUUUCUGUGCUCUCUCAUCCAGCAGGUUCUGAAGGAUCGUGGCUGCUGCUGUGGUCCUGCUUGACGUCUGCUUCAUAUAUUAUUACUCUCUGACUUGAUUUGAUUCAUUUAUAUUACAAUGAAGUGGCAAAGUGUGGGAUGACACAUGGGAACCUGCGCAGUUUUACACACAGUAAACCAGGCACCACAGGUGGCAGAGAUCGCACAGUUCACAGUUUGUAGUUCAGCAUAAAAGUUCAAAAUAAGAUAUUUACUGUACAAUUCUAACCAGUGUCAGUCUCUGUUUCACUCUCUAACUGUGGCUUAAGUACAUAAAACACUCGUGAAUCUGAUCCAUCAAUAAUAUCUUCCCAGCACUCGAUAUCUCAUAGUUUUACAUAUCAGUCAACAUUAUUGUCUACAUGCUCAUAAAUAUAGAAGUGACUUGGCUAUUGUAACAUAUUGCAAGUUAAAGCAAUACUGCACUGCACGUAAAGUAAGUAACAUCUUGUAUGAGGUGAUUAGGGUCAGCAGUGCUGUGUAU
Astatotilapia calliptera (eastern happy) is the source of this 1065-nucleotide long non-coding RNA. The record is from Ensembl. Lineage: Eukaryota; Metazoa; Chordata; Actinopteri; Cichliformes; Cichlidae.